UACGAAGGGAGCGAGCGUUGUCCGGAAUUACUGGGCGUAAAGAGCACGUAGGCGGCUAUAUGAGUUGGGUGUGAAAUCCCAGGGCUUAACCCUGGAACUGCACUCAAUACUGUAUAGCUAGAGACCGAGAGAGGAAAAUGGAAUUACGAGUGUAGAGGUGAAAUUCGUAGAUAUUCGUAGGAACACCAGAGGCGAAAGCGAUUUUCUGGCUCGGUACUGACGCUCAGGUGCGAAAGCGUGGGGAGCAAACAGG
This 253-nucleotide unclassified non-coding RNA is filed under the name Alphaproteobacteria bacterium. RNAcentral's name for it is "contains 16S-23S intergenic spacer region". It matches the Rfam family "Bacterial small subunit ribosomal RNA", at positions 524 to 776 of the family's 1533-position model. Lineage: Bacteria; Pseudomonadati; Pseudomonadota; Alphaproteobacteria. The record is from RNAcentral.